Molecule: long non-coding RNA, 2618 nt
Organism: Chiroxiphia lanceolata (lance-tailed manakin)
Lineage: Eukaryota; Metazoa; Chordata; Aves; Passeriformes; Pipridae
Exons: 3
Source: RefSeq, a predicted model, not a curated record
GUUGCUGCAUGUAGGAACAGGUGUUUCAUCUAUCAGUAAUAAGAUUUUUUUCAGCAGUUGACCCAGGUACCACAUAGAUUCCAGCUGACACACAGGAUGGUUUAGUACAAGUCUAAACUGUCAUAAAGAGCCCUGGGUUUGAGAAGCCAGUCAGCCAUGCAAGUGAUACAAAUCCAGGAAGAAUUACUGGUACUUUGGAAGACAGACUCAUCAAGUAGGCAUGUUUCCUGACUAAAUGAGAGAACUGUUGGUGCCAUUCAGGAGAUUCAUGGAAAGCAGUUCAUGCAGAAAUAAUCAGAUGCACAACUAGAAGAGUGGAAAAGAAGUCAUGGAACAGAUCAGAAGAUGCAAGAUGUGAUGACUAACAGUAAAAGUCUUAUGCUCCAUGUAGGAGGAGCAGAUGCUAGUCAUACCAGCUAACACUGGUAACAACUUUCAAGGGCUAGACAUUUAUUUUCAGUUGAAGAGCUUCCAGAGGGAGAAGUUGGAAACAGAAGCAGUCAGUACAUAUAUCCCUGAGAUGAGCUGACAAAUUCAAAUGAUUCCUGGAUGCAAGACACAACCUAAUCAGAAGAGCUCUGCAAUGUCUGUGCUGUCUGGUCCUCACUGAUGUAUCAGCCCUGCCUGCGAGGAUUGUGGCCAGACUGAGCAGAGAGGUAAGAUAAAGGCACAGAGUGCAGAUGUGUGCUAAAUGUCUGUCUCCUCAUCCUCUCUACUGUGCUUCACAGAAGAGGCUUCCCUGUGCCUCCUCACUACCUAAGUGGGUAUAUUGACCAUGAGUCUCAGGUCAUGUGUGCCACCACAUUAGCCCAGGCUGCAACCUGCCAACACUGUCCAGCUGAAACAGCUCUUCCUCAGUAACAAACAUGGAUUCUACUGGGAAAGCAUUAACCAUCCCUCUGGCUCACCGAAGCCAACUGUUCAUUGCCCAGCUGCAGAAAAAGCAUUGUAUCAGCUUCUCAGAAACAGAAUACCUGAAGCAUGGAUAGCAGUUGCUAAGGAAUCACUUUGGGAGCAGGCUGACCUGAGAUGCAUGAGCGGUUGUUGUUAUAAUAAGCCUAAACUCUAUCACCAGGCAGAUUCUUGAGUUUUGUUUCAGAGCAGGCUGGGAAAGUCGCAAGUUAGAAACUUGCGAGGAUAUAACAGGACAGUGAUUAUUCUGUAGAAAAUGACAUUUAAUCUCAUUCAGUGUAAACAGCCCAGCACAGUUAUCAGUUCCAGCAGCAUCACAAAAGUUAUCCAUUUUCAAAUUACACCACUAACUAUUUGUCCAGAGAACUCACCAGGAGCCUGAGGAAAGUCCUCCAUCCAGCAUACCACAAAUACAACGCAGUUGAGGUAAGGACUACACAGGCAGCUGAUGAGAACUGUGAGCCUUCUUGGCCUAAGAGGACUUUUCAUCACAUUACCCACGCUCAUCUCUGUUCCAGAAUUUUCAGUUUGUUGCUACCAGUCUCCAUUAGUCUUUAUCUAAAUGUCAGUUAUGGGAAUUUCCAAGAAAGAGGGGAAAGAGAAUCAGUAAGGAUCACCAUUUAUAAAGAACUGUGUGUCCUGAAAUAAUGUAAGUUCCAAAGUCAAGAAGCUGCUUUAACAAACAAAAAGCUGAUUAACCCCAGGUUGCUUUGGCAUAGAGGAAAAGUGGCCUGGGACAGCGCUGGAAUCUUUCAGCAUCUAUUUCCAAGCCAACAAGAGACAAGCCCCACAAGAAAAAAAUAACAGCUUGAUUCUGUGAUGCAGUUCCGUCAUGAUAAGCUUUCCAAAGUGCUUUGCAAAAGCUGUCACAAAAAAGGACAAUUCUGCUAAAAUACCAUGUGGGCAAGCCACCUAAGUAAAUAGGAGGACUCUGCAGUACAACUCUUACAGACUGGCUCUGUCUCUGAUCUCUGAGACUUAAAAAGGCCUUAGGCACAGGGCAACUAUAACCUGUUGGAGUGAAAACACUUCUUGCCUGAAUCUCCCUGUAGCACUGAAGUCUGCAGAUAUUUGGGCUUGUUCCCCAGGCAAGUUCAGUUCCAAGUCAGUUAAUGCAUUUUUUAGCACUUUGAAAUUUUCAGCGUAUUUGUCUGUGUGUAAACGGCAGCUUUAAGCUGGUAGACUAUCUUUUCUCAGGAGGUGCUGUCAGGGAAAAAAGACUUCACUGGGGUUGUGUUCCAUUUCUAAUAAAAACUGCACCAUAAUCAAGCAGUUCUCCAAAAGGUGCCAGCUCACCUCUCUGGUUAAAAUGAACUGGCAGCCCGAGUCCUAUUUCCUGCCACAGUUCUGUUACUGACAGGAGAGGCUUUUUGAAGUUCACAAAUGAGAACAUCAAAAGCAACAAGACUAAAAAGAAGGGGAGGAGAGCUUCCCUUCCUUCAGUGUAAGAAGAUUAAGUGUGACAAACAGUGACUGGCUCUUAAGAAGGGCAGAAAAAGAGAGAAAUGCCUGUGCAGAAUUCAGGGAGCAUUAGUCUUAUUUCCUUGACUGUGAUGUUCUUUAACCCUCCUCUGUGAGGGAAAAUAAAAUGUGUGUGACAGCUGGGGUCCAGUCCAUUAGAAACACAAACGAUCCACUAGUGGACCCUGCUGCUGACUUAACUACUGCCCCUGGGAUACAACACCUGUACAUGCUUGUCCUUUGUC